Long non-coding RNA from Leopardus geoffroyi (Geoffroy's cat), 275 nucleotides. RefSeq lists it as uncharacterized. The transcript is spliced from 2 exons. Lineage: Eukaryota; Metazoa; Chordata; Mammalia; Carnivora; Felidae. The record is from RefSeq and is a predicted model, not a curated record.
CCUCUCCUUGCGGGGCACCUGCACCGCCUGGGGCCCUGCCAUUUCCCUUGCAAAUCUCCCUGAGGGAGCAGCAUCCCAGGGAGGAAGCCUCCGUGGACCCAGAACAUUCCAGCGCUCGCAGCAGAAGCUCAGGAAUACCGAAUGGGAGGAAGACGAGGGGAACUAAGGGACCUCGCUUCAGAGGCACCAAUGGAACCGGAGGCGGAGAAGCCAGUCGGAAAUGAGCAGGGUGUGGAGUGAGGUCAUCAGAAAAGAUUCAACCUUGAAAAUGGUCA